UGAGGAAUAUUGCGCAAUGGGGGCAACCCUGACGCAGCAACGCCGCGUGAGUGAGGAAGGUUUUCGGAUUGUAAAGCUCUGUCGAGCGGAAAGAAAUGCUUGGUGGUUAAUACCCAUCAGGCUUGACGGUACCGCUAAAGGAAGCACCGGCUAACUCCGUGCCAGCAGCCGCGGUAAUACGGGGGGUGCAAGCGUUGUUCGGAAUCAUUGGGCGUAAAGCGCGUGUAGGCGGCUUAACAAGUCAGUGGUGUAAUCCCUGGCUUAACCCAGGAAGUGCAUUUGAAACUGUUUGGCUUGAGGAAGGGAGAGGAAAGUGGAAUUCCUGGUGUAGAGGUGAAAUUCGUAGAUAUCAGGAGGAACACCGGUGGCGAAGGCGACUUUCUGGCCCUAUACUGACGCUGAGACGCGAAAGCGUGGGUAGCAAACA
RNAcentral lists this ribosomal RNA (427 nucleotides) under uncultured prokaryote. Its description in RNAcentral is "bacterial SSU rRNA". It matches the Rfam family "Bacterial small subunit ribosomal RNA", at positions 355 to 774 of the family's 1533-position model. The record is from RNAcentral.